UCUUGGUGUGGAGGCGUCGAUCCGUGGGCCUGAAAUGGUUGCGGUCCCUCAAAGAGGGGCACGCCCGCGGGGAGCCAGUCGCGAAACCGGCCACAAGG
Molecule: non-coding RNA, 98 nt
Filed under: Chloroflexota bacterium
Lineage: Bacteria; Bacillati; Chloroflexota
Description: Chloroflexi bacterium c-di-GMP sequence
Rfam family: c-di-GMP-II-GAG riboswitch aptamer
Source: RNAcentral